Molecule: small nuclear RNA, 103 nt
Filed under: Cervus hanglu yarkandensis (Yarkand deer)
Lineage: Eukaryota; Metazoa; Chordata; Mammalia; Artiodactyla; Cervidae
Description: U2 spliceosomal RNA (ENSCHYG00000005390.1)
Rfam family: U2 spliceosomal RNA
About the family: U2 is a small nuclear RNA (snRNA) component of the spliceosome (involved in pre-mRNA splicing). Complementary binding between U2 snRNA (in an area lying towards the 5' end but 3' to hairpin I) and the branchpoint sequence (BPS) of the intron results the bulging out of an unpaired adenosine, on the BPS, which initiates a nucleophilic attack at the intronic 5' splice site, thus starting the first of two transesterification reactions that mediate splicing.
Source: Rfam by way of RNAcentral
AUCGCUUCUCAGCCUUUUGGCUAAGAUCAAGUGUAGUAUCUGUUCUUAUCAGAUUUCCCCCUGAAGAUCAAACAUAAGACAAGAAUGUGUGCACUUACCACUU